UAGCCGUUUGUAUUUCUACAGUCAUGCUUCUAAAGAUUGUAUGGUUUUAUUUUCACUAUAGAUUUGCUUGAGUAGUUCUGUAACUUCUAGAAUAGAUCAGUUAAGAGGUUUUACUCUUAGGCUUGUAUAAACUUACAACAUCUUUUAUUUGUAUUUUUGGAACAUUAGUUUUGUAUAGCUUUACUUUAGUUUCUGGAAACAAGAUUAAAUACGUAUGUUUGCAGUUUGUAAUUUACAGUAGUAUUUUUUGUGAAUUUGCUUCACUAGUUCUGUAAAAUGUCUAGAAUAGUUCACUUCUGGAAUGAAGAGUUAAUAUGUAUUAAUCAAUCUUCUAAUUUUACCUUUUCGCUUGUAUAGAUUUCCAGCUGUAGUAUUUUUGUUAUUUUUCUUCAGUAGUUUUGGAAAAUGGACUAAAUAUGAAAAGUUGGUUCUAAUUUAUUGUCAGUCUUUUUCUAUAGAUGUUACAGUUGCAUUUUUCUUAUUAGUUUUUGGCAAUUUUGCAAUGAGAAAGGUUUAACAACUGUAGUCUGUUCUGGUUUAUAAGGGCAUUGUAUCCAUGAGGAAAUUUGUUACUUAUUUCUAAAUACAUCUCUUACUGUUUAUCUGUAUGUUGCAGAGCAACUCACAUUGGUGUAGCUUAGAUGCAUUUUAAGAUAUGGCAUGAAGCUAGCUAAGGUCUUCUAUUAUUUCUAGCAGCAUGUGAUUGACUGAACAAGAGAAGGACUCCACUCACAUAUGAAGUGCUUGCAAGUUCUUUUUAAAAAAGCAAAGGACCAGCGGUGUAGCUAAGGGCUUUAAUUUAUUAGUACUCCAUUUGUUGCUUCUAAAACACUUGUAUGCACAGAUACUAGUUUCUCUUGGUUAUCAUAAGUGAACAUUCUUUAGAUAAAUUUCGCCUAGUUUUUUUAGUGGGGAAGGAAAGCUUCAUGAUAUUCCAUUUAAAACGCUGAUAUCUAUUUGAGAAUUAAUUUAUGUGCAUACCUCCUCGACCUAACAGUAUUUUUCUACUGUAUAGGAGAAAUCUUCUCAGUUUCUGAAUCCUGAGCAGUAGCAAGUCAGGUGCUUAAUGGUGAUCCUACCAUGCAUAUGGCAUAAGCAAGUUAGUUCUAAAAAGGUCAUUGUUAAUUUGCCCACAUCUAUCCUGCAAUUGCGACAACUUAGUGCGGUGAGAUUAGAGGACGGUCAUCAAUUUAAUCUACUUUGUGGCACUAAAGUAUAGAUGCUUUUCUCCGAUGCUUUUAUGAAUAUAAUAGUCAGAUGUAGUUUAAGUUCAGAUACUUUUUGACUUUUUGUUUGGUAUUUUGCAUGUCCUCAUGUGCUUAGUACUGCAUUUAGAAAUGAUUUCAGAUAGAUUCUUCUCAUUGAAAUUCAUUUCUAACGCAGGGAAAGUAUGUAUAACCUCCUGAUGUACGUGGGUUUUGAGAAUGCUUUUCCCAGGCCAUGCUGCACUCAUCAUUGAAACUUCUAGUUGUGUAUUAGAUAGUAAUCAUUUUUGCCUAAUGUAUUGCUGUCUAGUGCAGCAAAGUGCGGUCUUUCCACCCCAGAGAAGAAAAAGAAAGAGAACUAGUGCAGUCUUUUCUUCAAAAAUGACUUUCAUGUGUCCCUUGGUGGAUGUGUUGCUCCCAAUAAUUGGGUGUCUGGACAUGCUAAAUUGUUGCCUUGUGGCCAGAUGAUGCAUAUGCUCCUUUUCCAUUUAAUAUACUUCCUGGUCUGCGGAUUGAGGAGAUUCAUACAAGCUAUAUGGUGGGUCGGUGUGGCAUUCAUGCUUUAUUAUGUCUAACCCAUCACAGAUUCUAAUUAGAACAUGCCCUAUAUUUAUAAUACUAAAAUCCCAGUUUGUUUUUGCCAUUGGCGCUUUAUACAAUUAUCAUUUUUCCAUUAUCUCCAUGAAUGCGUGAAUUCACCGGUCACCCUUUUAUCCUUUGUAGGAAUGAAAUACAAGAGGACCAGGAAGUAAGCAUGAAGAUGGCAGUUUGUGUCAGGUAGGCAUUUUGUGUAAUGGGGCAAAAACAUUGUGUAUUUUAUCAUUUUGUAAACCUAUAUAGUGUCUUGUCAAUUGGGUAUUUUGUGUAAUGGAGCAAACAAUGAAACAUUGGACAUGCAUCUAUCAUUUUGUAACCAAUCAGUUGUCUUGGUGAUUGAAACAUAAAUGCUUCUUCCUUUCAGUUAGUUACUUUUACCUAUAAGGAUAUCCUAUGUUGCAAUGAGAUAUGC
This 2214-nucleotide long non-coding RNA is filed under the name Triticum aestivum (bread wheat). Its description in RNAcentral is "long non-coding RNA (TAES_LNC014782)". Lineage: Eukaryota; Viridiplantae; Streptophyta; Magnoliopsida; Poales; Poaceae. The record is from RNAcentral.